ACUUGUCUAAUUAACAAACAAAAAAACGCAAAAACUGUAUACAACAUUUUGUUACUUUGAUUAUCGGAUUAUUUGAAACUCAAUUACUUCUUAUCAUUUCAAAGAUUGGCUGCCAUUUGAUUUCUUUGGGAGAAUUAUUGUGCAUUUGGACAUUCAUUUCGACGUCUCACCUCCAUAUAUCAUAGUUUCCAUAUCAGUCGCCAAGCGCUCUAUAGAUGUCGUUUCCAGUAUAUUAAAACUAUACCGAAAGCACCCACAUAUACACCUUCAUCUACAUGCAUACAUAUGUACAGCCGAUGUAAUCCACUUCUUCCACAAUAAUUAGCAAAUUCAUAGAAAGUCCACCCAGAUACCCAGAGUUAAAGUACCUUAGCGGGUUGAUAGAUAGAUCGAUUGAUAGGCAAUCGGUUUGCUAUAAAACAGCGGUGGGCUUGUUCUUGCUCCCAACCGCUCCCACAUGAUGCUGAACUCUACAUGUACACCCGAACAAUCAACCUAUAUGACAAGUCGUGUGCAUGAUGAGUUUCGCUGAUAAUUGUUGUUUUACCCUUUGUUAUUGGACUGCUGCCCACCGCUGCUAUAUACGAUUCCUCAAAAAGAUUCUCGAAUCAUAAUCAAUAAUUUAGUCUGAUUUAGAUGUGACUUUCAUCGUUUCCCUUUUCCUCUGUCGGCAAAUUAAUACCCAUUAGCAAGUCAAUUAGAGCGAACCGGAUCCCAGAGGCUGCCAAUAAUUCUCACCACUCAAUAUUCAAACCGAAAAUCAAAAUUGAAUUAAAUAAUUCGUGCUGUGCGUGUUGUCUGAGACUCGGCUGUCGCAAAUAGUACCCAUGGUCUGUCACAUGGUUCCUUAUAGAUAUUUCAGAUUAGGAUUGGAAUGAUACCUACCUACAGCUCGCCCUGGGGUCUAUGAUCAUGUGGAUCUAGCCUCCAUAUAUAUAUAUAUAUCUGUUUGUAUAUCUAUAUAUAAUUUCAAAGUAUUUCGUUUGAAUAUUAUUACUGUUGAUUGACUCUCCUAUUAUUAGUAUUGUAGUAUUGGCCUUUUCUCGUUUGGUUCUCUAUUCGUUUUGUAUCCAUUUUUCGAUGUAUUUUUAUCGAUCUUACCAUUUGAUCAAUUGAAUAAUGUAAAUCUCUUAUCUUUUCAUGUUUUUUACAAUUUUAAACAUUGUCUGUUUACAAACAAAAUGUCUAAUUUGAUAACUACUACACUACCACAUAUGUACAUCCAUUCUCUGUGGCGUUCUAUAUCCGCAACUACAAAUAACACCACCAACCACCUGAACCACCUACGAAUCUGAAUCUGAAUCUGCAACAACCUUCUUCGCCUUCCUAUCGACGCUCGCCCAAAUAUUGUAUUACUCUACUACUACUACUACUACCUUUUCGUUCGUAAUCGUAAUGCAAAUUGAAAACCUGAACAAAAAAAAAAAACAAAAAUUCAACAAUUCAAUUCAACAAUAACUAAAUUCAUCAAUGAAUGAAUAAUGCAUUUUGGGUUUGAAUUGAAUUCAAUUUGGAUUCGAAUCGAAUCGAAAUAAAUCGAACAAAUUUGGGUCGUGAGCGUCUCCACAUACACACUGCAAGUAAUCCUAGAGAACACGAGUAUAAGCUGAUAUGCUUUUUAGAUUGUAUUGUAAUAUUCAAUAGCUACGAAUGAUCAUUUGUAUUUUUGAAGUUGUUUGGGUGUACAGUAAGCGAUCGCGACCCUUCUUUCCAUAUAAAGAUAUGCAGAUACAGAUGCUAUGUAUAAUUAAGUGUAUACAACUAGCGUAGGAUUUGGCUUUAUUUUUCCAAUUUAUGUUCGCAUCUGUUCGCAUAAUUUGUCAUUCAUCUGAACGAGAUUCAAUUCGCGGCGAUGUCAAGGCAUACAUACGACUACUUCUAUAAACCUUAAUUGGAAUUGCACUUGCCCGACACUUGCCCAGUAAUUGGAGGUCCUUCCGAGUAGAAUAUCGAUCUGUUUUGCGAGCCUUAAGAGACUGAUCAGAUCAAGUGAAUAGUUUUUCGUAUUUCGUAUUCGCAUUGGGAGUGUUCAAACACUGAGCCAGCUCAACACUCAGCAAAAGCGGAAUAUCCGAAUAUCCGUAUACGUUUCUAUAAAUUCAUAAUUUCUGUUGUUUCCGUUUCCUCAUGCAUGUCUGUCUUCGUCAGUCUAUCACGAAUGACUCUACCAUCGCCCGUAAAUUGAAUUUUCUCCAUUAUUGUGUGUGUGUUUUCGUUUUCAUUUACUGUUACUGUUAAAUGCUUAUAUCCCAGAUUUAUACUCGAUUUGAAAUAGUUUGUUAUUGUGCUGCUGUUGUAACCCUGUCUACCUGACUGAUCAUACUAACUAUAUGCUCUCCAAUGUACGAUCUACAAUGUUCGAUGUGUCUAUUUCAUGCGUAGUUUCUUCAAACUGUAACUCUUACUGUUAGCUGAAAUAAUCGAAUAUCAGAGAUGGGAUGCAGAGAGUCCCCUAUAAAUACUGUCGAAUGUACUGUCUGUUUCAUCUGAAGCACUCAAACUUCGUAAGCAUGAGUCAUCAAACGCUUUCAUGUAGAUCAGAAACUGGAACAAUCGGUUCCCUGCCACCUCCUCGUACGUACAUACAUUGUACCUGCUCUCUCAGCUUUCCAACGUACUGCAUUAUGGCAUACUACUACUAUAUUCAUGUUCAUUCAGGAUUUCUUGUAUCCAGUAUCCAGUAUUAUUGAUAAGAAUCGUAUCUUUAAGUGCUUGUCUUCUUGAAAAAUUUACAUGAUCUAUUUUUAUUUUUUCUUUUCAUUUUGUUUAUGUCUACGACGUGAUUGAUAAUACAAUAUAUACAAAAAAUACAAAAACCAUCAACUUUUGGUUAUCGCCAUCUAUUUAUCACAUAAACCAAACAAACUGCUUGAUUCGCGCUGUUCUGAACACCCACCCGCCUGCCGCCAUCCUACAUACAUGUCGCCAUUGCCAAAUACCCAAAUCGAACUGAACCGAAUCGAUAUUAAAUAAAAAUCCAACCCCAUUAAUCGAUAAAUGAUGUCAAAUCGAUGACACAAUCGCCACUGGAUGGGAACGAAACUCCAAAAACCCAACCGAACCGAAUCGACGAUGAUGUGCGCCGCCUUCCUUAUUCAUCACCCGAAACACUCAUCCAACCACCAUUACUCAUUCCAUACGUUCAAACACUCACCCUCGAACGGUUCUUGUACAAA
This is a long non-coding RNA of Drosophila pseudoobscura, 3176 nucleotides long. RefSeq lists it as uncharacterized. Lineage: Eukaryota; Metazoa; Arthropoda; Insecta; Diptera; Drosophilidae. The record is from RefSeq and is a predicted model, not a curated record. The transcript has 2 exons.